RNAcentral lists this ribosomal RNA (352 nucleotides) under uncultured Glomus. RNAcentral's name for it is "SSU rRNA". It matches the Rfam family "Eukaryotic small subunit ribosomal RNA", at positions 742 to 1092 of the family's 1831-position model. Lineage: Eukaryota; Fungi; Glomeromycota; Glomeromycetes; Glomerales; Glomeraceae. The record is from RNAcentral.
AGACAGACUGUUACUUUGAAAAAAUUAGAGUGUUUAAAGCAAGCUAACGCUUGAAUACAUUAGCAUGGAAUAAUGAAUAGGACGUUCGAUCUUAUUUUGUUGGUUUCUAAGAUUGACGUAAUGAUUAAUAGGGAUAGUUGGGGGCAUUAGUAUUCAAUUGUCAGAGGUGAAAUUCUUGGAUUUAUUGAAGACUAACUACUGCGAAAAGCAUUUGCCAAGGAUGUUUUCAUUAAUCAAGAACGAAAGUUAGGGGAUCGAAGACGAUCAGAUACCGUCGUAGUCUUAACCAUAAACUAUGCCGACUAGGGAUCGGAUGAUGUUAAUUUUUUAAUGACUCAUUCGGCGCCUUACG